AGCUGAAUGCUUUUUUGCAACUGCCUUGUGUCAACUCAUGUCUGACAGGCCUUAAAUUAAUAAAUCUGUAUGGAAACUCCAAGCCUAGAAUACUUGAAGUUUGUUUAGGUUCAGGGAACUUUAACUGCCCCCAUUGGGGAUGGCUAAUCUCAGUUUCCUGAAGGAAAACAGCUAUUCUAAUUCUUUUUAUAACCAUAAACUCUUAUUUAGUCUACGUCUGUCCUUAGAUGAUUGUCUCCAACCUUAGAUGACUGAGCUUGCAGGGUUUCUGUGAUCUGGUGACUGAAUGUAAACUAAUGUUUGUGGCUGAUUGAUUGGUUUUGAUCAUUCUGACGGCUUAAUUAAGUAACUCCAGACAAAACAAACACUAAAACAGGUCAUAUUGAACGUCUCAGCAGGAUGCUAGAUGUUUUGGGAUUUUAUUAUUUUAAGUUUGUUUUCUAAGUCUUCUGUCAUGGUUUUGAUUCGCUAAUGAACUAAUACUCUUGCAGGUGAACAUAUUUUUCCAUUUAUGGCAUUUGUUUGGAAAAGGUCACGUGACAACCACAGAGAACAGAUGUUAGAGAUGAUGCGAGGAAUGUUUGCAGACAUGCUUCAAUGACCUCUGAACUCUCCUUUGCACCUGCUACCAAGUCUGACAGAUGCAGGACUCGACUCUCCGGAGAGCGUGUUGUCGGCAGGACAGUUUGUCACUCGGCACUUCUUCACGGAUCAGGUGUUCUCUCCUGAAGGAAGAUGUCUGGGCAAUAAUACCUCACUGUUGCUUCCAUUAAAGGCAUGUGUCCAGCAGUGAUUCAGAUCUCCCUGACGUCACAUAGGCAGAAGUGAGGAUCUUUACAGCUCCAUGGCUGAUUUUUAGCUUCAAACACGAGGGCAUCAAGUUGAUUUAAAGUGCCGGGAGUCUGCGAGCAGCUGGCCAGUUGUAUUCAGACAAUCAAUCCAUCUGCCAGCCAAUCCCAGCGAAUCUAACCGGCAGCGCGGGGGCACUUUGUGCCGCCCGUGAAGGUUUGUUCCACAACAUUACGCUCCUCUUUAAGAGAUGAAUGCAUGCGAGAGACAUUUAUCAAGAAGGGAAGACGUGAAAUGAAAUGCACGAUGUUGUAUACUCUACACCAUACUGAGUUUCAUCCA
This is a long non-coding RNA of Rhinichthys klamathensis goyatoka, 1131 nucleotides long. RefSeq lists it as uncharacterized. The record is from RefSeq and is a predicted model, not a curated record. The transcript has 3 exons. Lineage: Eukaryota; Metazoa; Chordata; Actinopteri; Cypriniformes; Leuciscidae.